RNAcentral lists this ribosomal RNA (700 nucleotides) under uncultured bacterium. RNAcentral's name for it is "bacterial SSU rRNA". It matches the Rfam family "Bacterial small subunit ribosomal RNA", at positions 93 to 825 of the family's 1533-position model. The record is from RNAcentral.
UAGUGGCGAACGGGUGAGUAACACGUGAGAAUUUGCCUUUAGAAAGAGGAUAACUUAUAGAAAUAGAAGCUAAUACUCUAUAUGCCGUUUGGUGAAAGAAGAAAUUCGUCUAAAGAGAAGCUCGCGCCUGAUUAGCUAGUUGGUGGGGUAAAGGCCUACCAAGGCGACGAUCAGUAGCUGGUUUGAGAGGAUGAUCAGCCACAUUGGAACUGAGACACGGUCCAGACUCCUACGGGAGGCAGCAGUGAGGAAUUUUCUGCAAUGGGCGAAAGCCUGACAGAGCAAUACCGCGUGAGGGAUGAAGGCCUAUGGGUUGUAAACCUCUUUUCUCAAGGAGGAAGAUAUGACGUUACUUGAGGAAUAAGCAUCGGCUAACCCUGUGCCAGCAGCCGCGGUAAUACAGGGGAUGCAAGUGUUAUCCGGAAUUAUUGGGCGUAAAGCGUCUGCAGGUGGACUUUUAAGUCUUUUGUUAAAACUCUGGGCUUAACCUAGAAUCUGCAAAGGAAACUAUUUGUCUUGAGUAUGGUAGAGGUAAAGGGAAUUUCCAGUGGAGCGGUGAAAUGCCUAGAUAUUGGAAAGAACACCAACAGCGAAGGCACUUUACUGGGCCAGUACUGACACUGAGAGACGAAAGCUAGGGGAGCAAACGGGAUUAGAUACCCCGGUAGUCCUAGCUGUAAACGAUGGAUACUAGAUGUUG